UUGAGGUUGAGUGGUAGAAAGGGCUCAAUAGCCCUAACUUUAAUACCCCCUUUCUUUAAUAAAAGCAUUUUUCAAUAAAACGCUCCUACAUCCACCUGCAUGCUUUUUUGGCAAAGUGGCAAAAUCUGUAACAAACAGACCCAUCACAAUACAAACAUACUUUUUGUAUCAAAAGAUUACUAAAUUUUAACUUUUUAGUGACAAAUUAUAAAACCAUAUAAAUAAAAAUACAUACGUGCUUAUAAUGAGGUAAAAUAGUUUUGGAAAUUCGGAUGUGGCAGGUUUUGACACUCACAGAUAUGGCAGGUUUAUAAACUUAAAAUGAAUUUAACUAAUGAUUUUGCUCCAAAGUUGUUGUAAAACUAACAAUUUUCAAGGAAUAUAGUCAACACAUAAGGCAUAAAGGUACAAUAAUAGAAUUUUUUAGAAGAUGCAAACUCUCUAUUAUGUCGUCAGAGUUAAAUUUCAUAAAUUUUUACAUUGAAACUAGGUUCUAAACAAAAGGUAAUGUAUUCAUGAGCAAACAUUCGUGAGAGCAUCCUUUUAGAUUACUGUCUUUCACUAAAUAAAUUCAAGGUUGUUGUCUUCAAUUUCCUCUACUAAUUUACCAUCAAUGUCCUCCUCUGGUGUUUCUUCUGUAUUUUGAUUUUGAUUUUUCUUCACUUGGAAAUAAAAUUGAAGAGCUUGAGUUUUCCAAUCAUCUCCAAAGUGUUUUGAGAGCAAUUUAGCAUUAUCCCCUAAUUUUCAAGAGCAGUAGAUUCGCUCCAUUUUCCAUCUCAAUCAGCAUCAUAUUUUGAUGUGUGUAAUUUGGUAUAGUUACUUGCCUAAACACCAGUGUCUGUUCUGUAAGCAACUUCACCUUUUACCCCAACAGCAAUUUUGUCUUUAUUUUUCUUUAAAAUAAUUCGUUGGGAGGGAUUGAUUCUAAAGUGCCAAUUGCCUGGUUUCUUUUAUACCUUUCCAGAUUCACUUUUAAAGUCAUAGACUAGUACUGUCACACCUACUUGUGAACAAUGCAAUGUUUUGCUAAGAUCUCGUACUAUUUUAAAUUUAAUAAAAGGCACUUAAUUUAACUUGUGUACUUAUUUUUGAGUUUCCAACAUUAGCUUUUUCUCCAUGUCUUUUUUGAUGUUUUAAGUGGUCAUUAAAGGUUCAAACUUGUUGAACAAGCAUGUUUUUGGUGAACCAAAACCAAAGUUGAAGUGCGUAUUGAUUACUAUUAGAAAAUAAGAUCCUUUCACUUUCAAAGAAUCUUAUUCUAUAAUGUAAGGACUUAAACAGUGUUCAAUUUUCCAUUCACCCUGUCAGAAUCAAAUAUAAUAAACUUUGGUAAAUCACUGAGCAUGCUGGGAAGUCACAUGACUGAACCGAGCACUCUCAUUGGCUGCGAUGGAUGUGGUGGAGUUUGAAACUAAAGAUGGCUAAAACGAUGAUGGGUCUGGUGAGUUCUGAAACUAAGCCACAUUUUCAACAAUGUGUUUAUCGUGGAAUGUAGCGGGUUUAACUACAAAAUGAUGGUUUAUAAAAUAAUGGGAUGUUUAUCUCAACUUCAAUGUUGAAUCAACUCUUCCUACCACAUGUGGUAGGGUUUGAUUGUAGGUGCCUCUUGUAACGAAUAGUUAGUUAACCCUUUUAGUGCCACAGGUAUUGUUACAGGUUUGCUUGAAUGAAACACUCGGUGCGUAUUGAAUCCACUAUUUAUUAAUCUUACAAAUAAAUCUAAUACUGUCUACUUGAGACUAUACUUGUCUACAGAUUUCACUAACUGUCACUAAUUUAUUCUGUCACAAUCCACGAUUAACUAACUAAACGGUCCAGGGUUACACAAAAUAAAGCUUGGAGAAACAAGCUCUAUCCCUUCCAUAAACAAAAAAUGCAGCAUUUACAUCCAGGAGACGAUGCUCAUCGCUUGGACUACUGCAUUUGGUAAACACUCAUCGUCGACUUUUUAACUAUAUUUUAUUUACUGAUGAUACAAAAUUUACUUGUGAUGCUAUGAACAAUUUACGAAACCAACAUUCAUGGGCAGAAGUGAACCCUCAUGCAACAAUUAAACGUAACUUUCAACAGUGUAUUAGUCAUAACGUUCAGUGUUGUAUUAUUCAUGAUCAGCUGAUUGAACCGUUUAUUUUUCAAGAGCGCUUAACAGGUCAGACAUACUUACCAACAUUGCUUGGAGAUAUUCCUCUUGCAACGUGGUGCACAUUUAAUUCUAUUAAAUUUAAAUCAUCCUUGUAUUGACAGUAAUAUUUAAAUUCACAUUCACGUUGAUAAAAUUAUUAAAUUAACUCUGUUACAAUUUUGUCAACUGAGAAAUAUUUAAGUAGUCUUUUCCUUGUAUAUAGAAAGGGGCUUUGAAAUAAAGUACAUUAAAAAAAGUACAUUAUAUAUAAUGUAUAUUAUUUCUUAAUUUGUUUUAUAAAUAUAUAGUCAAUUUUUUAAUUACAGUCCCUCUAUAUGUGGGUAUUUAUAAUGUAUUUCUAUAACAGAUAUUUAUUCUCAGGUGAACAACGUAUCAAAUACAGCCGAGAGACUCUGCUAGAUCUCAGCUUCAAGCCGAUGUCUCAGAGUAAGCCCAAGAACGUGCCCAAUAAAUUGUGCAGGAAAAUAACCAAGAAAUAAGUCGUGUGAAGUCCAGUGUCAGCUGUACUAUCCUGGAGGCUCCAGUCUCCAGCCAGUGCUCUGCGCAGCAGGCUUCCACUACUGUUAUAAUAACCUUACUUUUCAGUUAUUAGUUUUAUUUUACAUCGACUUUUUGUUGAACUUCCUGAAAUAAUCACUUAUAUAACAUCUAUAUUUUGUAGCUCUAGAAACAUGUAGUUUUAUACUUUAUAUGGUAUUAAUUGUUCCUUGUUAUAUUUUUAAUAUAUAUUGAAAGAAGAGUUAUUGUUUAUGCUAUUUCAAUAGUAUUAGGCAUUUUUUAUAGCAUUAGAUAUUUCCCACGUGUUUCUGUAGUAUUAGACAUUUUAUCUGAAAUACCUCUUUUCAUAAAUAAGAUUUUUAAUGGUAACCCAACUACGGGACAUUGGUUUCCAAGGGGUUGUGGUUUUUGUGAUAUGAUUUCGUUGUUGACUAUUUACAUUAAGUUUGGGGAAUGUACUUUUAAAAAGUAUUGUCAUAUCUUGUCCGAUAUUGUCAAUACGACUUGUUAUAUUGCAGGCACUGUAGUUGUGUCUGAAUUUUUAGUUUUUAUUUAAGUUCACAUUCAAUUGUGAAUUAUAGCUAGUUGUAGUUAUGUAGUAAAUCAAUAAAAAUAAGUGUUUUUCUUGCAAAUUUUCACAAUUUCAUUUUUAUUAAUAUAGUUAUUCUGUACAACAUUUUUAUGAAUAAUAAAAGUAAUUUUUAUAUUGCA
Molecule: long non-coding RNA, 3352 nt
Filed under: Homalodisca vitripennis (glassy-winged sharpshooter)
Lineage: Eukaryota; Metazoa; Arthropoda; Insecta; Hemiptera; Cicadellidae
Description: uncharacterized LOC124360891
Source: RNAcentral